Molecule: ribosomal RNA, 109 nt
Filed under: uncultured bacterium
Lineage: Bacteria
Description: partial 16S ribosomal RNA
Rfam family: Bacterial small subunit ribosomal RNA
Source: RNAcentral
AAUACGUUCCCGGGCCUUGUACACACCGCCCGUCAAGCCAUGGGAGUCGGGGGUAUCUAAAGUCGAUAACCGCAAGGAGUCGCCUAGGAUAAAACCAAUGACUGGGGCU